UACGUAGGGUGCGAGCGUUCAUCGGCAUUACUGGGCGUAAAGCGUGCGCAGGCGGUUUGCUAAGACAGGUGUGAAAGCCCCGGGCUUAACCUGGGAAUUGCGCUUGUGACUGGCAGACUGGAGUGUGGCAGAGGGGGGUGGAAUUCCACGUGUAGCAGUGAAAUGCGUAGAGAUGUGGAGGAACACCGAUGGCGAAGGCAGCCCCCUGGGCUAACACUGACGCUCAUGCACGAAAGCGUGGGGAGCAAACAGG
Molecule: ribosomal RNA, 253 nt
Filed under: uncultured bacterium
Lineage: Bacteria
Description: partial 16S ribosomal RNA
Rfam family: Bacterial small subunit ribosomal RNA
Source: RNAcentral